UUUUAAAUGCAGUGUUUCUUCUCUCUUGCUAAGAUCUGGACGAAUGUUCCACCAAGCAACACAACUGCCAGUUUCUUUGUGUCAACACCAUUGGAGGUUUCACUUGCAAGUGCCCUCCCGGCUUCUCUCAGCAUCAAACCGCCUGCAUAGACAACAAUGAGUGCAUGGGUCAGAACAGUGUGUGCGGUUCUCAGGCUUCUUGUGUCAACACUCCUGGUAGCUUCAACUGUGAGUGCUCUAAGGGCUUCACUUUAGACACUACGGGCCUGGAAUGUGAGGAUGUGGACGAAUGCAGCAGUAACCACCGCUGUCAACAUGGCUGUCAGAACAUGAUGGGAGGAUUCCGCUGCGGCUGUCCUCAAGGCUACGUGCAACACUACCAGUGGAACCAGUGUGUCGGUGAGUCGCACUGACAUCUCCG
Molecule: long non-coding RNA, 421 nt
Organism: Hippocampus comes (tiger tail seahorse)
Lineage: Eukaryota; Metazoa; Chordata; Actinopteri; Syngnathiformes; Syngnathidae
Exons: 3
Source: RefSeq, a predicted model, not a curated record